This is an RNA transcript of Pongo pygmaeus (Bornean orangutan), 5700 nucleotides long. It is a transcript of the gene named uroporphyrinogen III synthase, with no coding region annotated. NCBI's taxonomy places the organism in Eukaryota, Metazoa, Chordata, Mammalia, Primates, Hominidae. The transcript is spliced from 12 exons. The record is from RefSeq and is a predicted model, not a curated record.
UCAUUGCUUCUGCAGCCUCAGCAGCCUCUUCGCUGGGACUGCGCGACACCGCCUCCCGACUGGGUGCCCGCUGUGUGCCAGGCCGAGUGCUGGGCACUGUCCCAUCUCUUAGCCCAUUCGGGCCUCCCCAGCUCCGCGAGCGCCCUAUAAGGACUGCCAGGCAAUAAUGAAGGUUCUUUUACUGAAGGAUGCGAAGGAAGACGACUGUGGCCAGGAUCCAUAUAUCAGGGAAUUAGAAUUAUAUGGACUUGAAGCCACUUUGAUCCCUGUUUUAUCAUUUGAGUUUUUGUCUCUUCCCAGUUUCUCUGAGAAGCUUUCUCAUCCUGAAGAUUACGGGGGACUCAUUUUUACCAGCCCCAGAGCAGUGGAAGCAGCAGAGUUAUGUUUGGAGAAAAACAAUAAAACUGAAGUCUGGAAAAGGUCUCUGAAAGAAAAAUGGAAUGCCAAGUCAGUGUAUGUGGUUGGAAAUGCUACUGCUUCUCUAGUGAGUAAAAUUGGCCUGGAUACAGAAGGAGAAACCUGUGGAAAUGCAGAAAAGCUUGCAGAAUAUAUUUGUUCCAGGGAGUCCUCAGCACUGCCUCUUCUCUUUCCCUGUGGAAACCUCAAAAGAGAAAUCCUGCCAAAAGCGCUCAAGGACAAAGGGAUUGCCAUGGAAAGCAUAACUGUGUAUCAGACAAUUCCACACCCAGGAAUCCAAGGGAACCUGAACAGCUACUAUUCCCAGCAGGGGGUUCCAGCCAGCAUCACAUUUUUCAGUCCCUCUGGCCUCACAUACAGUCUCAAGCACAUUCAGGAGUUAUCUGGUAACAAUAUCGAUCAAAUUAAGAUCCAGCUGUUCCUGAUGUGCUGGGGGAAGUUCAGCUUUGAGUUUGUAGAUGUUCUAGGUGCCUUCCCAGAGUCAAUGUGGGAAGCUGGGUCGAAGCCAGAGUCUCACACGACACCCUGAGCAGCAGUAGGGCCACCCAGGAUGCUCCUGGACUGAGGAGAGUUGCUGAAGAAGUUCAUGCAGGGAAGGAAUAAAGGAUCACACAGGAAUUUGAGAGCCAAAGUAGAGUGCAACUGGCCCCCCAGGCCCAGAGCGGCUAGCGAUAAAAGAGCUGGAACUCCAGUAGCCAUCUUGGGCCCUGAGAUGACAUUGGGGAAAGGAAGUUUUCUAGAACAAGAUGACACUGUGGGCACAAAAACUAUCCCUACUCUAGACUUCUUGAGUGUAAAAGACAUAUUGACUUCUAUCUUGUUUAAGCCACUAUUACUACGAUAUUUUUUCUUUUACAAUCAAAUCUAAAUGAUAAAAUAAUCAAGUGAAUUGGUAGAGCAAACAUCAAGAUAAACCGUUUUCGAGUUUGAAUAAAAUGCCUUUUUAAGAAAAUCUUGGACGGAUGCAGUGGCUCAUGCCUGUAAUCCCAGCACUUUGAGAGGCCGAGGCGGGUGGAUCACUUCGAGACCAGCCUGGCUGACAUGGCGAAACCCCAUCUCUACUAAAAAUGCAGAAACUUAGCCAGGUAUGUUGGUGCAUGUAUGUAAUCCCAGCUAUUAAGGAGGCUGAGACAGGAGAAUUGCUUGAACCUGGGAGGCGGAGGUUGCAGUGAGCUGAGAUGGUGCCACUGCACUCCAGCCUGGGCAGCAGAGCGAGACUCCAUCUCAAAAAAAAAAAAAAAAAAAGAAAAGAAAAGAAAAAGAAUAUAUUUGGUUACUAGAAGUCCCUCAUAUACUUACUGUUGAAUCUUUUUAUCAAGUUCAAUUUUCAGCUGUGUAUUUGCAUAUUAUUUAUAGAUUUAUGCCUUGUGCAAUUAUAUAAAGUGUUUGAAAAGCAACCGAAACAACAAAAAGAUUCCUCAGCAUCAACCUGCUUCCGGCGGCAGGACAGGAACUGGGCCUGAGCCUGAGAUGGUUCCUUCCUACACCCUUCUCCAGGGUACCGUGUCCACCUCUAAGCCUCUGGACCCUCUGACAUGUAACCUGUGUCCCCUCCCCAAGCCAGCAGAGAGACCCAGGCAUGGUGUGGUUAGGGAAGGAGGUGGACCCAUCAGGUUCUCAGCCUGAUGGGUCCCUCAGGAGCGGCGCAUGUGUAGCAGCUUUUCAGGAGUAUGGGGGGUGACAGGAGCCAGAGGCCACGUGGUGCAGAUGGGAGAGAGGCCAGCAGAUGGGUCCAGCAGCAGUGGGUUGAGCUUUGCCUUGUAACCUCGGCGACAGGGGCUUUAAUCUGCAUGGAAAAUUCUGCAUGAUUCACACUCAUGAGGCCUGUCACCAAGCUGAGUUACUGAGUUACUUUACUGAGUGUUCAUCGUGUGACUAAAUUUCUGGAACUGGGGAGUUCGUAACUUUUUCCUCAUCUCUCACCCAAACACCCCCAAGUCCUGUAAAAAUUGCAUUUCCAGGGACGGAAAGGAGUCCCACGUAACCAGCCAGAUCCCAUCUCUGAGCCAGGCCAGACCGCUUCCUCCUCCCUCUGAGUCUGGUCUGCUUCUGGGGUUCUCUCUCUCAAUGUAUUAGGGUUCUCCAGAGAAACAGAACCAAUAGGAUAGAUGGACAGAGAGAGAGAGACAGACAGACAGACAGACAGACUAGGGGGCACUUAGGGGAAUUGUCUCACAUAAUUCUGGAGGCCAAGGAGGCCAGCAUCUGUGGGCUGCAAGCUGGAGACCCAGGAAAGCCAGUGCUUGCAGUUCAGCCUGAGCCUGGAGGCUGAGAGCCGGGGAGCUGGUGGUGGGACUUCCAGUCCACGUCUGAAGAAGGCCUGGGGAGAAGGCAGUGCUUCUGUAAGUCCCGGAGUCUGAGGGCCCAGGAACCUGGAUGGACAGGAUUCAAGGGGCAGAGAAGAUGAAUGUCCCAGCUCAGGAAGUGGGAGGAUUUGCCCUUCCUUGGCCUUUUCGUUCUCCUGGAGCCCUCAGUGGACUGGAUGACUCCUGCCUGCUGGUGAGGCUGGCUCUUCUUUACUAAUUUAAAUGCUCAUCUCUCGCAGAACACCCUCACAGACACACCCAGGAACAGUGUUUUACCAGGUCUGUGGCCAUCCCUUGGCCCCGUCACACUGACAUACAGAAUUUACCAUUGUGCUUGGGAAAUCUCAGCUUCUCUGCUGGUAUCAUUGCUGCUGCCCUGGCAGCUGCCCUGAGAAGAGCUGGGUUUGACCAGCACACUGAGGGCAUCUCCUCAUCAGAGGGCCCCACUCUCAGAGCAGAACCAGUUGGGAGAUUUCUGAGGGAUACCACCAGCAACAAUGAGCAUAAUUCUCACCCGGAGGCCAGGAGGCCUGGGUGUGCCUUGGCAGAGAAGUGCAGGUGGGUAGUGAGCGGUGCCUCCCUCCCGCAACCGCUGAGCAGCCUCCAUGUGCAUCCUUUGAGGGGAGGAACAAGCCCCAAACGCAGACUCUCAUGUGUGUAAAACACAAGCAGUUCUCCCCAGGGAGGCCGAGGGUCCUAUGCCAGUCCAGAGAUGGGGGAAAGGGUUUAUUUGUGGAUGAAAAGGGACCAAAAUGCAGUCUGGACAGAAGGGAAUCAGGACAGACACUGGGAAGAGUCUUUCCCUCUCACAGGUGUGCUAUGCAGCUGGAAACAACAAGCCUGCCCUGGUGCUGAUGGCAUCACUCCCCAGCACCUGGGCCCCCUGAGCCCUGCUCACUUUCAGAGUCAGAACUGUCCCCUCUCUGAACAUAAGGCUCAAAGAUCUCCUGUGGGAAUGACUGUUUCCAAAUAUUAUUGUCCAACUAUACUAAGAAUAUGCAAAUCCAGUCUGGGUGCAGUGGCUCAUAUCUGUAAUCCCAACACUUUGGGAGGCUGAGGUGGGCAGAUUGCUUGAGCCCAGGAGUUCAAGACCAGCCUGGACAACAUGGCAAAAGCAUAUCUCUACAAAAACAUACAAAAAUUAGCUGGGCAUGGUGGCUCACACCUGUAGUCCCAGCUACUUGCAGGAGGCUAAGGUGGGAAGAUCACUUGAGCCAGAGAGGUCACGGCUGCAGUUGAGCUGUGACUGUGCCACUGCACCUCAGCCUGGGUAACAAAGUGAGACCCUAUCUCAAAAAAAAAAAAAAAAAAGCAAAUCCAUUUUGUAAAUGAUGAACAUUUCAGGGGAAAAAAAUUUCAAUUCUCCCACUGACAAUUAGGUUAUGCAUCUCAUGGCUUACAGAGAUUCCAGAAGCUCCGAGCCAAACCCUUGCCCAGUCUCAGAAACGGGAGGUGGCCCACACAGACCAGGAACCAGUUUGUGCAGGAGCCCCUGUCCCUCAUGUUGUCUUUAUUGUAGGUCACGUGUCUUCCUCUGACAUUUUCCCUCCUAAAUCCAAUUGAUUUCCUUGAAAUCCAAGUAACAUGCAAUGAAAAUUUGGUUAAUCAAACAUUCUCAGCCUUAAGCAGCCAGUACAUUCCAAAGCUUAGUAAUAAUUGGAGAGAAGAAUCCUCCGAAAGAAGAGCAAACGUCCACACGGUGAACAUACUUCCCCAAGUCAAGCACCCAAGCUGCACAAGGCCACCGCACCCAUAAAGUUUCUUAAAGAAUAAUAACUUUAGGAAACAAGACCCUUCAGUAAUGAAGCUCUCAAGCCUAUGAUCCCUGUCUUAGUCCAUUUGUGAUGCUAUACCAAAAUACCUGAGACUGGGUCAUUUAUAAAUAAUAAAUUUUUUUUUUCACAGUUCUGGGGGCUGGCAAGUCCAAGAGCAAGACUUGGUGUCUGAUGAGGGCCUGGUGUCUGUUGCCAGAUGGUGUCUUGAACACUGUGUCCUCAUAUGGCAGAAGGGCAAAGGGCUGAAUGCUCUCUGAAGCCUGGCUUCUAAGGGCAGGAGGGUAGAGCCUUAUGAUUCAAUCACCUCCUCAAGGCCCCACCUCUUAAUGCGCUUGCACUGGGGAUUAAGUUUCAACAUGAAUUGUGGAGGGAACACAAACGUUUAAGCCACAGUAAUCCCUAAGGGGAAUCAUCUUACCCCACUGAGGACAGCUGUCAUGCAAGUUUUCAGAUUUGACUUUAAGAAGCACAGUCUUUGACCAGAGCUGGUGGAAUGGACAGAACUGCCAGGCUUCAAGCAGAACAAGGAUCGUGGUGGGUGCCCAAGCUCCUCCUGAGCACCCCUUCCCAGCAUCCCAGGUCCUGCCUUUUCCCCGCAGCAUUCGAUGUGGGCCCAAUGAGGAAUGGAUCCCCUGGGUCACAGUGUAGGACUGUGCCUUCCCCGGAAAGCCCAGUGUCCUAGAGCCCAGGAAAGUGUUCUAGGGUGCGGCACAGUCAGAAAAACAGAGAGGAGUUGACAAUAGCCAGAGGGUUUCACCCCAGGAGACACAGCCUACACCAACCUCAGAACUGCACAGAGGUUCUUUUAAAAGUAGCCAGUCCUGGCAUUGUCCACUCAAAAUGUUCCACCUGAACUUACGGUGAAUCCAGACUCCUCAUUUGCCCUAUGGGUUCUUCCCCAUCUGACCUUCACGUGCUGCUCUUCAUCCUCCCCUCCCAGCUCACUCCUCCCACUCAUGUCCAGCCAGGCUGUUCUUUCUUCCCUACUAUUGUAGGUUUGCCCAGCCAGUUCCAGCCUCAGGGCCUGUGCACUUGCCCUUUCCUGGCCUAAAAUGUACACCACUCCCGAACCCCCAGUCACAUGUGACUGAAUCCCUCUGAUCUUUCUGCUAUUGCCCAGAUUUCAUCUGCACAAGAGGUCUUUCCUGCUCACCUGAAUAUUCACUCUUCCCCAUAGACACUCACUUUCCCUAAUUCUAUUC